ACAAGAAUGACUCUCGGCAACGGAUAUCUCGGCUCUCGCAUCGAUGAAGAACGUAGCAAAAUGCGAUACUUGGUGUGAAUUGCAGAAUCCCGUGAACCAUCGAGUCUUUGAACGCAAGUUGCACCUGAAGCC
RNAcentral lists this ribosomal RNA (132 nucleotides) under Krameria revoluta. RNAcentral describes it as "5.8S ribosomal RNA". It matches the Rfam family "5.8S ribosomal RNA", at positions 1 to 124 of the family's 154-position model. From Rfam's summary of the family: 5.8S ribosomal RNA (5.8S rRNA) is a component of the large subunit of the eukaryotic ribosome. It is transcribed by RNA polymerase I as part of the 45S precursor that also contains 18S and 28S rRNA. The record is from RNAcentral. Lineage: Eukaryota; Viridiplantae; Streptophyta; Magnoliopsida; Zygophyllales; Krameriaceae.